Molecule: ribosomal RNA, 336 nt
Filed under: Oxyuridae sp. S151
Lineage: Eukaryota; Metazoa; Nematoda; Chromadorea; Rhabditida; Oxyuridae
Description: SSU rRNA
Rfam family: Eukaryotic small subunit ribosomal RNA
Source: RNAcentral
AAAGGUGAAACCGCGAACGGCUCAUUACAACAGCUAUUAUUUACUUGAUNUUGAUAUCCUACGUGGAUAACUGUGGUAAUUCUAGAGCUAAUACAUGCACCAAAGCUCCGAGNAAUGANGAGCGCAUCUAUUAGACUAAAACCAAUCGGGCGCAAGCUCGUGUUUUGGUGACUCUGAAUAGCUACAGCUGAUCGCAUGGUCACGUACCGGCGACNUGUCUAUCAAGUGUCUGCCUUAUCAACUUUCGAUGGUAGUUUAUGUGCCUACCAUGGUUGUUACGGGUAACGGAGAAUAAGGGUUCGACUCCGGAGAGGGAGCCUGAGAAACGGCUACCAC